CGCGCUUCAGCACCCUGCAGUCCCGUUCUGUGUGGUCUACCACUUCAUGGCCGAGUCGUUGUUGCUCCUUGACGUUUCCACUUCACAAAAACACAACUGACAGUUGAUCAAUAGCAGGACAGAAAUUUGACGAACUGACUGGUUGGAAAGGUGGCCUCCUAUGAUGGUGCCACGUCGAAAGUCACUCAGGUCUUCAGGAAAUUGAGCACACAGACAUGCAAUCUCCAUAGAGAAACAUUGGCAGUAAUGCCAAUUUUGUACAACAGUCAGCAACGGGUGGGGCUGAAAUAGACAAAUCCACUCAUUUGAAGGGGUGUCCACGUACUUUUGUGUGUGUAGUGUAUUAAGUUAUUUUUCUUAGAACUGCAUUGCUGGUUAAGGGCUUGUAAGUAAGCAUUUCACUAUUGUAUUCGGAGCAUGUGACAAAUACAAUUUGAUUUGAUUUGGUUUGAAGUCAGGCUGUGCAACUGUAUUUGAGUUUUAUUGAGAACGGCCAGUAAAUGUAUAAAGCCAACCGUAGUGACUUUAAAUUAGAUAUACAACAUGACGCUGUAAUGUCAGCGAGAGCUACUGCUAUUGCUGUUUCUUCUAAAGGGGAACAGAUGACAGAUCUCUCCCAGGACACUUAACAGCACUUCCUCUCCCCUCUCUGUUUAUUGGCUAUAUUUACUCUGUUCUUUUACAGGCCACCAUUGUUUUUAGAGAGGCCAAUCACUCCACUUGGUGAUUGGACAAACUCCUUUCAUGUGUCUUCUCUGGAAUCUGGAGCUCAGGCCAGGAACCCAAACAGCCUUUACACCUCUUCCCUAUGCCUUGUCCUCAUCUGUUUCAUACGUUUGUGUAACAGAGGUAGUUUAGUGACCAUGCUAGUGUAAUGAUCAGUAACCUUACUUGAGACUUGAAGAGUUGCAAUGGCUCCCCUAGCAAACGCCUAGGCUUUGGCUUAGUGGGCUAAUGCAUUCUCCCGGGAUUGAUCCCUGUUUGUCACACUUGCUCGUAUUCUGAACAUGACGAACGCCCGUCUUAAUUCCAGGUUAGAAAAGGAGAGGUGAGGAAGGAGAGGGACUUUGCUAGAGGCCAACCUAAGCCCUCUACCAGACGGGUCCUGCGUAACACAGGCCAGGCACCAGUGCGCACGCCUUUCUUUCGCAUGUACUCCAGCAGUCAUCUGGAGAUCACGCAGAGAGCUCUAAGGCUCUUCCAGCAGGCAGCCCGCAAGGUGGUGAUUAAAUGUCGUGUGAACAACAGACUGGUCUCGUUGAGGCAGCUGACUCAAAGCUUGAAGCGCCUGUCCCCAGGAGUAAGAGUUGAGGAGGAGCCCCUUCAUCCCCCGAAGAUCUCACCAGACAACGUGGUUCCUUUCACAUUCCCCAUCUUCUCUCUUCCUAACCAGUCUGAUGAACUGGUUCCCCAGCACUACAAGUUAAUGGGGUACCAGCCUGUUUCGGCCUUUGAGGCUGCCGCUAGCUACACCCCCCCCCCAACCCCCAUCCCAGCCCAGGACGCUAUGCACUGGGGCACAGGAUGAACUGUUUCCCAGGGUGAUCCGUUCUCCCUCGGGGUGUGCAGUGGCCGAGCCAGAGGGCGAGGAGGAUGAGUGUCCCAGUCUGAGCUUCAUGGCCCCCACCGCCCUGCUGAAGCCUCCCUACGCACACCCCCUCGGAAUCUUUACUUUGUUCUGCACUGUAGAACCCAGCCCCCCGGUCUCCAUGCCUUCAAAGCAGACCUCCUCUACCUAGAGUGUGAUCUGGAGUUCCACCUGUGUCCACUGCCCCGGUACACCAUCCCAAAGCCCUCUGUGUUUGGAAU
This is an RNA transcript of Oncorhynchus gorbuscha (pink salmon), 1809 nucleotides long. It is a transcript of the gene named cilia- and flagella-associated protein 221-like, with no coding region annotated. The record is from RefSeq and is a predicted model, not a curated record. The transcript is spliced from 7 exons. Lineage: Eukaryota; Metazoa; Chordata; Actinopteri; Salmoniformes; Salmonidae.